RNAcentral lists this ribosomal RNA (321 nucleotides) under uncultured bacterium. RNAcentral's name for it is "bacterial SSU rRNA". It matches the Rfam family "Bacterial small subunit ribosomal RNA", at positions 28 to 334 of the family's 1533-position model. The record is from RNAcentral.
GAUGAACGCUGGCGGCAUGCCUAAUACAUGCAAGUCGAACGAAGUUUCGAGGAAGCUUGCUUCCAAAGAGACUUAGUGGCGAACGGGUGAGUAACACGUAGGUAACCUGCCCAUGUGUCCGGGAUAACUGCUGGGAACGGUAGCUAAAACCGGAUAGGUAUACAGAGCGCAUGCUCAGUAUAUUAAAGCGCCCUUCAAGGCGUGAACAUGGAUGGACCUGCGGCGCAUUAGCUGGUUGGUGAGGUAACGGCCCACCAAGGCGAUGAUGCGUAGCCGGCCUGAGAGGGUAAACGGCCACAUUGGGACUGAGACACGGCCCAA